Molecule: small RNA, 223 nt
Filed under: Notechis scutatus (mainland tiger snake)
Lineage: Eukaryota; Metazoa; Chordata; Lepidosauria; Squamata; Elapidae
Description: 7SK RNA (ENSNSUG00000012630.1)
Rfam family: 7SK RNA (bases 1-174)
About the family: 7SK was discovered as an abundant small nuclear RNA in the mid-70s but a possible function has only recently been suggested.
Source: RNAcentral
UGACAGUGAACUGGCUGCAACAUCUGUCAGCUGUUUGUUCAGCUGAUCUGGUUCCCUAGGUGGGUGUCCCCUUCCUCCUGAUUGCUCCAUGUGCGUCUCUCCUGAAGCUGUGUGCUUGGUGAAAGAGGACAACCAUCUAGAUCAGGGGUCGCCAACCUUUUAGACCUCAGGGACCACCAAAUUCAUAAUUUUAGAUCCCAGGGACACUAACUGGUUCUGUGGG